RNAcentral lists this unclassified non-coding RNA (9342 nucleotides) under Camponotus floridanus (Florida carpenter ant). RNAcentral describes it as "sAM and SH3 domain-containing protein 1, transcript variant X4". The record is from RNAcentral. Lineage: Eukaryota; Metazoa; Arthropoda; Insecta; Hymenoptera; Formicidae.
UCAGUCGAGCCGUGUGCCGCGUCGCGUUAGUGUCGUGCGGUAGUGCCUGCGUUUCGCGUGUCUCGUCGAGAGCAUCGACGAUGACGUCUUCCUCGUCCCGAUUAUGAGCGGCGCGCGCUCCUCACCAAGAUCACCGGCCACGUUCUCCCCGUCGUUAUUGCCGUUUUUUCUCCAUUUUCACGCGGGCCGUCGAUCGGAGAAGCCGCGCGUCAGGGCUACCAACGAACUUUCGUUCGUUGUCGCCUUGCUUCGACUUCGCGAAAUCGCGAGAUCGAACGUCGCCGGGCGAUCACUUUCGAAUCCGUCUGCCGGUUUCGUUGGCAAGUCUGCGUACACGAGGGGAAACUUCAACGCGUGGAAUAGCCGACCGUUAACGUCGCGAGUGACUGCACGGGAUUCUCUGGAGAACGUCGAGUUGCGAUUUUCGGACGAGUGCCGGUCCGGUUGUCGCGACAAAAAGUGUCUCAUCGCUGAGUAAAUCGCGCUCGAUUCUCGAUUGUUUGCAACGCUCGCUUCGUUCAGUGUACGCUUUAUCGGGGACGAGUAACCGAGGCGGACUCGUCGAAUGUAACCGGGUGAAUGUAGCCGAGUGACAGUGCGUCGCGAGAGUUUUUUGAAAAUUCCUGCGGAAAGCGAGCGGGAGGGAGACCGUUCGCGGAUCAUUUCGCCGACGUUGCCAAGUUUCCGUUGCUUUCAGCGGAAGGACCCUUCGCUCGUCCGUCGUCACGAAGAUCUCACGUGAUCUAUAAUCGUCUUCCGCUGAAAAAGCGCGGAUCCGAGCGGAUUUUCGAACGAUCGGACAACGUCGCUCGUGAACUUUGUCGAGUCUUCAACGAUCGACGACGUAAAUCGCCGAGAUUCAUAUCGUCCCUGUCGGAUCUCUCGAGCUCCUUGGAAUGGUGGACUUGCUUCAGUUAAUCGCGUAGUGACUUUCGCGCCAUGUUUUCUCAUCGAUCUCCCUCGAGUGACGUAACCAGCGAGUGCGCGGAAUUAUUUUAACCAAGUGCCCAAGUACAUUCGAGUUACAACCUUAUCCCUCGUCGUGAAUAACCGGUCGAAAUUGCAUCAUCGAACAUCAGCGGCUCGAAUUCCGCGAAACGUACGCCAGGAGACAGAGGCAAAACAGACGAGGAUCGGAUGUCACGCGUGCGUUAGAAGAAGACGGAUAGACCCGUCUAAAUUUUCCCGGAACCGAGAGCGAGAUUCGAUCGUCGACUUUUCGAGCCGAGGUGUCCUCGCUUUUUUCUUCAAGAAUCAUUCUUUCGGAAGCGAGAAGAAGACGCAGCGAUCUUACGUCCUCGUGUAUCUCGUAAUGCGCCGAAGAGCGGUACACGUCAAACGGGGAACGUGACCAUCGCCAGCCAGCCCCCCUCCCCCCUCCUACCGCAUGUUCGGAAAGUCGGCGAGACGACCCUCGUUAGUAUCGCGGCCGAUCGCGGGGGAGAGAAUGUCACGUUGAAACGUGAGAACGGACGCGAGUUUACGCUGAAUCGGACGAAUCGAGUUUCGACGAGAGAUCCGCGCGUCUCGAUGGACGUUCGUCUGGGAAACGAUCCCGCGAGAUGGUAGCGAGGCACAGCGGAUAAGGAGACGGGACAGGGAUCGUCGUGCGAGGGGAAGAGGUGGGAAAGGGUGGGCGAAGAACCGAGUGAGCGGGCGAGGAGAGCCGGGGAGAGAUUUUAAAAGAGCGAACUCGCGGGGGCGUAGCCGGGGCCCACGCGUGCACAAGAGCGAGAUGACGAUGGCGAGUAACAUCGUGGUCGAGUGGCUGCGCUCGCUCCACCUCGGCCAAUACUCGGAGUCGUUCAUCGACAAUGGCUACGACGACCUUGAGAUCUGCAAGCAGAUCGGCGAUCCGGAUCUCGACGCGAUCGGCGUCUUCAAUCAGAAGCACCGGGCCCGCCUGCUGCAGUCGGUCAAGACCCUGCGCGAGGAGGGGGCCGCGAGUGUGUACUUUACGCUGGAGGAGACGAACGACAGCAACUGCGACAACAUCAGCUCCAAGUCAUCGAGGACGUCGUCCGAGAGGCCGCCCAGCGACAAAGAGGCGCAGCGAGCGUCGCCCACGGCGAGCUCCUCGAGCGGCGGUCAAGAGUUGACCAAGUUCGCCGACGAGUACGAGGAGGGCAAGGCCGAACUCGUGAGAAUUCCGAGGAUGCAGCUGAGGAUGCUGCUGCAGGAGAAGCUGAGACACGACGGCAUCAGGCUGGCCUGUCAACCGUACACCACGCCGGAGGGUGAGAGGGGAUACUUGGAGGGACUCGCUUCGAGGUACGCGGAUCUCUUCAGAACACAUUACGGAGAUGUUUUGGAACCGCUCGAGGAGUUACGCCGGCGAGAAACAAACGCUUCUGCCAGAAUGCCCAACACUCAGCUCACCACCAGUCAUUCACAGCCCAUUUACGUGCCCGGGAAGUACUCGCCCUCGAGCUGCCUCAGCGACAAGGAGGAGGAUGAAAUCUAUGGCUUCGGAUACGGUGUCUUCAGCAGACAGAUGCUUCAGCAUCGACAGCAGAAGCUCGCACUCGCCACACAAAACACGACUAGUGCCGUGACAUCAGGUGGACCUCAGCCAACCUACCAAAGUUGUCUGAGCCCGAGAUCUGCGUUCUUCUACGAGUUCCCGCCUAACGAACAGGGACAAAAUACGAGUAAGAAAAAGACGACAUUUUCGAGAUUGUUACGAGGAUUGAAGACUCAUAGGAAAGAGAAACAAGGACAGCAAGCUCAAGGCUCUCCCAGGCACGGUCGCGCAAGGAUGGGCGUCCCUCAAAGGGUAGAUACUCCUGACAGCGUUCUGCAAAGUGGCUUAGGUCUCGGACCCGAUAUGGGACACACGAUUCUUCGUUCGAUGGUGGAUCCUAGAGAUUACGAUCGACUGAGAUAUUUACAGAUGAAUGGCGGACAACCAAACAGCUUCGAAGAAACCAUACACAGACUGAAAGUUCAAGAGGCGCUACGUAAGAAAGAGCGAUUCCACAAAGAGCACGAGGAGAUACUGAGGGAUAUCCGGCAAGGUUUAAUGCAGCUAGGACGAGAUGGACGGGGUCAGCUCCCUGGGGAUGAUACGUACAUGUACGAUGAAGACGCGCGAUGCGGAGGUGCGGGCGGUUUAGGACCAGGUGGUCAACACUGGUACGACGAACCGCCUUAUGAAUCGGAUCCCGAAGACUUUCUUAUGGGAGCUAGCGGUGGUCCGGUACCUACCGCGACUAUUCAAAAUGGAAGGGUGUGCUUUACACUGAACUUGAGGCCGGAGAAUCGAGGGGAGGGCGUGAUCUCUCUUCGAACAGCUGGUGAUAUCAGCCUGCCGCGCGAUCGCUCGAGAAAAGGUGCGACGUCGACGAUGCGAGGUCUCAUCGUUCCUCAGGGUCACAAUAAUCCGCCGACGAUUAUACCCUUAACACAUUCAAGAGCUUCGCGUGAGAGCGGAGAUUACGCGAGUAGCGAUGUGCAGAGUGUGAGCUCGAGACUGUCGACUGUGUCGGUGGACACGAGUAGGAGCGACCAGCCUCCGGUGGGCGGUUGCCAUCCCGAUCGGCCGGAGCAUCACCACGAGCACCAUCACAACCAUCGUCAUCAUCACGAACAUCACUCGGUCUCACCCCGAUCCAAUCAACGUCACCCCGCCGCUACUAGCACGACCAUAACCAACACCGUCGACGCAACGUCACCGCAAAGCAACGCGCAACGUCGCCCGAUUCCCAGAUAUAGCCGGAGUAGCGGCGAGGAGGGACUGUCGCCCAGCCAGAGCAGCGACUACGAAGAUCAAGAGGAACUCGAGAGUCAACACUCGGCUGCCGUACACACAUCGGAGGCCAGCGCUCUGCUGGAGAGCGACGCCAGGGCGGGAAUCGCGGGCCGGGCGAGGAAUUUGAGGCACGACGUGCAGCGAAAGAUCUCGAGGCUGCGCCAGGACCGCGCGUCCUCGGAAGCCUUCCCGUGCAGCGCGAGCAGCGUCGAGAGCCUGCCGAGCGGAAGUGGCUCGAGCACGCAGGCACUGGUCCGUGCGGGAAGCAAUCACAGCUCGAUAUCCUGCGAGGACAGGGACGCCAUCAGCCCGACGUCCAUCGGGCCUGUUCUCUGCAGAGCGAGAGCGCUCGUAGAUUACACCCCCAGUCCGUACGACAAGGACGUUCUCAAGUUCAAGAAGGGGGACAUAAUCGAUGUGGUACAAAUGAACAAGAGCGGACUGUGGAAGGGCGUCGUACACAACAGGAUAGGCCACUUCAAGUUUAUAAACGUCGAGAUACUGAACGACAGGGUACCUAGACGAGGGGAGCCGGAGCGGGGCAAGUGGGGUCAGAGAUAUAGGCAGAAGCCGGGUUCCGUUCAAGAGCUCUUGCAGAGAAUGAAUCUUCAGGAACAUAUUCCAGUUUUUAUAUUGAACGGAUACGAGGAUCUGGAGCUCUUCAGGGAGUUGGAGGCGGCGGAUCUGGACUAUUUGCGUAUACAUCAACCCGAGGAUCGUGCCAAGAUACUCACCGCCGUGCAGCUUCUACACGAUCUUCAGUCGGGUAGCGAAGGUGACCUGGCUUCCAGCUCGGAGGGUGACGAGGUCAGCCGUCUGGUUUUAACCUCCGGCCAGACAUCCGGCCACUGUUCUCCCUUCAACCGACGCCAGUUCCCGCGAGACUCCGGCUGUUACGACGCGCACAAGAAUACGACCAGUCGACGGACCAUCAGCCCGGAAUCAACCACGACGUCGGUGAAGCUGUCGAGAGAGAACAAUUUGGAUAGCGCGUCGACGGCAGCCACGAAGAGCGGCGCGGCCACUGCAGAGGGUGGUUUGGCCGAUUCGAAGGACGACUUUCAUCCCAAUAUACCAAUCUCCGGGCCGGUGGAAAGAAAAGAGAGCCAGUUCGAGAAGUCGCCGUUGCUGCGGGGCGGCAACGUGCGAUAUAUCGCGAAAAGAGGUACCUUCGGCGAGACGGUGGUCAUCGAGGACGCCUGCGAGGCUGGCCCAAAACUAGGCGGUAUGGUCAAAUACAUGGUCGGCGGUACCGGCGAUCUCGGUCUGGAGAACACCGGCAACGUCGCCGGGCUCGGCCAGCGCGGUUGUCUCAGCGAAAAAUCCAGCGAUUCCGGCGUCAGCUCGUCCAGCAUCAGCUCGGCGCCUCCUCCCAGGGACAAGGUUCUCGCAUCAACCAGCGUCCUCUCGGACUCGCCGACCAAGAGCUUUGGCAGCUUCACCAGGGCAUCGCCGACUUCCCAGGCUGGUAGCAAAACUCAGAAUAGUGACGGGAGUUAUCAAUGAGAGGAGCAGCAACGAAUCGAUAGGUCGGCGAGUCGUAGUGCGAUCUUGAGCAUGAAGGCUGCGAUUCGUCUGCGAAAAAAUUGAGCAAUGUCGGGAUCAACGAAUACUUCGGAUAUGUAUUUUGUAUUCGAUAAUAAGAAAGAUACAACUUCCGAAUCCGAUCCUAAUGAAUGUACGUCGCAACAAGAUGUUUCUUCCACUCCGAAUAACGUGCAGAGUUAAAGCAAUUUUAAUGAAAUUAACGAUAGUAAUAAUUGACGCAGAUAUGCUAUGUUGUAAAAUUGUCAAGUAUGCGGUGCAUACAAACGUAUCCCGAUUUGAAUACGUAAAGCAAUAUCUUAUUUCCUAUUAUUAAUUCUUUUUAUUAAAACAAAUGUAUAAAUAAAAGAUCCUACUUUGUUUGUCACGAACACACGUGAUCGUAAAUUCGAAUAUCUCUUGACACGCGCCGAUAUUAACGUCGAGAGAAAUAUUUUGUUAUUCCCUAUCUUGGAUAUUCGAGGAUGUCGAGGGAAAGUGAUUCGAGGCAAGAAUCGCGCAAAAUUCUGAAAUUCAGAAUUUCUUAAUUUAACAAGAACUGCCGAAAGGAUGCGCGAGCAAGAGUUUCUUCGCGUCACGUUUGAUUCGAAAGAAGGUGCGUUUAACGAGAAGAGCGAGGCUGAGCACGAUGUCACUGCCAGUCAUCAUUCUGAUCAUUCUGAUACAUUUGUCGAUUGCUCUUGGUUUAUCGAAAUCAAGCCAAGUCACAUCGCGCCUAAUUAUAUAAUUAAUAAUAGGAAUAAUAAGUGAAUAUUAUGUGAUAUGGUAGCAAUAUACGAUCGAUUAAUCGAAUAGGUAGAGACGAAAGGAACGACGGCCAACGACGACGUGAAUCGUCGUCGCGAUCCAAUGCGUACAAUAAAUAAAUGAUGAGAGAAAAAAGAAGGAAUAAAGAGAUCCGUUGUAUAUAAUAAAGGCGCGCCCCCAUUACUUUUGAUUUCGCAUUCGAUGCUAUUUAUCGAUUUCUAACAAGAAAACUUGGCGAUUCGUUACUGCAAACACUAUAUAGUUUAUCUGAUACGUGCGAUAUAGUCCGUGAAAAACUGCCAACGUUAUUGCUCUUGUUCCUGUCUCUCUCUUCAGAGAUAGCGGGGUCUCUUAUCUCAUAUAUUUUCAACUCUUUUAUACGUUAAAUCGAUCUCAUCGCUAUAUGAAAGACGUGCGUAAACCGUACGAGAGAUAGUUAUGAAUCAUCUCGAGACAAUUUUCCGCUUAAAUAUAGCAAACUCUCGCGAGGAUCCAUCUUUCUUAUCCAGUGAUGUAGACGGAUUAUCGGAUCACAGGAUGCCUUAUGAGCGUUUUUCACUAGCUUAUUUUACUUAGCUUAUUUACGCGACCUUAAUAAAGCCCACUGCACACCCUCGAACAACGUCGGCCCUCGCGAGGGAAAUAUCUCGUUUGCUUUUUCACCUUUCGCAUAAUUUUUUACGGAAUAACGACGACACGAAGUUUAUCCACGGCACCGAUUAUUAUGCCGCGUCGCUUACUAUUACGAUCGACAAUCCCCCAUCGUCGAUGCGACUCACAAGUUCUUCGACACGAUGGUAAUCUGUACAUGUGUAUAUUGACCACGUCACGGGAGAAGAAAACGUUGAAAGUUACAGAGAUUUUGUAUGUACGCAUACACAUAUAUAUAUAUAUGCGUAGAACUUAACGAUGUUUUGUAUUGAUCUUGCCCGUUUGCCAAAAUUUAAGACUAGGCUCUAUACGCGAUAUACUAUAUAUAUACAUAUAUAUAUUAUACCGUUGGAUUUUAUUGUACAUCUCUUGUAUAGUGUAAAAUCAUAGAUGAAUUUACGAGACGCGGGAGCGCAAUCAGAAAAAGAGCUGCGGGAACAGAUGGGCGGAGCCGAGAAGCCCGAUGGAUAAUAAUAGUAAUUUGUAAGUAAUAAUUUUAGUAUGUGUGAAGGGGAGGCGAUUCGAAGCGCAUUAUUAUUAAUUAAAGUAGUAGAAAAAAAAAUAUGCAGGACACGCACCCAUCCCCGAAUGAAUGAACCAUCGAAAUAGCACGUUGACAGAGAAGGUGGUGAGAGAUAUUGGAGAGUUCUUGCAAUGCCGUGUUUUUCACACUUACGAUAAACACUAAAGUGUUGCAUAUCCAUUUAAUUGACAAAUAAAAGGAUCAUUGGAGAUAAUGUAAUCGUACCAAAACUAGCCAGAAUUUUUGUUUAUUAAUUACGACGUUUCGACAAUAUGCUUGUGGUCCUUUUCAAGUACACGCUGGAAUAUGAAAUGAACAAUUAGAUUUUCAACGGUUUGAAUAAACAAUGAAAUGUGAACAAUUUGAGUACACACGGAUCAAAUGGUAGAUAUAAAUCAUGGUAUUGUAAACUGCACAAGUCACAAGUUGAUUCAAUUAUUGAAUUAUUGAAAAUCAAAUUGUUCACAUUUAAUUCGUGUGUGUACUGUUUAUUCAAACCGUUGAAAAUCCAAUUGUUAAUUUCAUAUUCCAGUAUAUACUUGAAAAGGACCACAAGCAUAUGAUCGAAACGUAAUUAAUAAACAAAAAUUCUGGCUAGUUUUGAUCGAUUACAUUAUUUCCAACGAUCCUUUGAUUAAUUGACUAGCGAUAUUAAGAUAAUUUAUGACAAAUAAAACUUGCGCUCGGUGUGUGUGUUCACACACGCGGUUUCCAAUAGAAUAUCUUAAUAAUCCUCGGAUAGGGAUAAAUUAAACGAUGACGAUAUUCUUACGCGAAUGCGGAUGAUCGGGCAAGUUCGAGAUGAUAAUUGAGAGCUUAGUGUUUAUCGUAUUCGAUGUACGUUAUUGCAAUAACGUUAUAAAAAUUUACUGAAAGCUACAAGCGUUUCACAAGCGAUACAUGUACAUUUCCCACAUUGUCAUCAUCUAACGUGUAAGGUAGAGAGCGUGCUUCUUUUUACCACAUUGUCGCAACACGGAAAACAAAUUAGGAGGAGGUAGAGAAGAGAUUCGGUCGAUUCAAAAGUCAGCCAUGAUUAGAUCGACCGUGUCGCAAGUUGCUUCCAUCGAGAUUGAUCGACGUAUUCGCGAGCAUGCAUGGAAGGAAAUUUUGAGAUCAAGUUCCGCUCGCUUUAUCCAGUGGACCCCUUCUUUUUAACGAGUUUACGCGACGAUUCGACGAUUCGAAUAGUACCGAGGAGGCUUAUUCAUUAAACGAUAUAUCGACUUCGAUGACGUCUGCUAGUUUAUCCGUUCCGUCGAGAAUACUGACAAGCGUAGAGAAUGAGCGAGGCGAUUAUUACGAGACAAUGGACGAGAUUGUGAGGGAGAGAAUUGAAAAUUGAGCGCGUGUGUGGGAGCGUACGUGUGAGCGAAUUGAAAAGGAAGACGACACGCGAUGUUAAAUUAGUAACGAGUUUAUGAGAAUACGAAUAGACACGAUAGUGAUUUUAUUAGCUCGGGAAAAAAAAAAUUAUGCAGCGUUUGAUGUAAAGUAAACUUAUUCUAAUCGUAGACCCUGCCCUGCCCUGCCCCUUCCCCCUCCCCCUCCUUCUCCGCCCCCCCCCACGCUCUCCCUUCGAGAAAAAGGCGCAGUAAUCGAAAAUAGAAUAAUUUAAGGGAAUCUUAUGAGGAGGAAGCGAUGAAUCGUCGAUGAAAGAAGGCCUAUGAUGGCGUCGCCUCGCAAAACGCCCCCUCGAAAAACGGCGUAGCGCGAUCGCUAAAGAUAAAUUUAUUCGUCACAAUCGAGAAGCGCGACGCUUUCUCGGUGAUUUGCUGAAGCGGAAAGAAGUUUAAGCGUUUUAACGUAGCGGUCUAGUCCAUUCUUCUCGCGUGGUUAACGAAAAUAUAUAAUGUACAUAAAAUAAAUAAAAUGAAGAAACACACAAGAUUUAGAGAGAGAGAAAGAGAGAAUCGGCGAUCGCGAGCGCGCGAAAAUUAGCGCGCAUCGUCGUCGGACCUUUUUAUAAGCUGAUUUUGUAUUUAUUCGUUAAUUGCGGGAUUUGUAGAUGGCCACGAAAUCACACAUAAUUCUAAUCUCGUCUCUCGGUUCUCGUAUGAUUUCCAACGAUAAGUGUUAAUUUAUUGACUGUGAAUAGAAAUAAACGAUGGAAGAUACAAACGAG